Molecule: ribosomal RNA, 253 nt
Filed under: uncultured bacterium
Lineage: Bacteria
Description: partial 16S ribosomal RNA
Rfam family: Bacterial small subunit ribosomal RNA
Source: RNAcentral
UACGAAGGGAGCUAGCGUUACUCGGAAUUAUUGGGCGUAAAGCGUGCGUAGGCGGCUUUGAAAGUUGGAAGUGAAAGCCCAGGGCUCAACCCUGGAAUUGCUUUCAAAACUUCAAGGCUAGAGUAUCAGAGAGGAUAGUGGAAUUCCUAGUGUAGAGGUGAAAUUCGUAGAUAUUAGGAGGAACACCGGUGGCGAAGGCGACUAUCUGGCUGAAUACUGACGCUGUUGCACGAAAGCGUGGGGAGCAAACAGG